RNAcentral lists this ribosomal RNA (253 nucleotides) under uncultured bacterium. Its description in RNAcentral is "partial 16S ribosomal RNA". It matches the Rfam family "Bacterial small subunit ribosomal RNA", at positions 524 to 776 of the family's 1533-position model. The record is from RNAcentral.
UCCGGAGGAUGCAAGCGUUAUCCGGAAUGAUUGGGCGUAAAGCGUCCGCAGGUGGCAAUGUAAGUCUGCUGUUAAAGAGUCUAGCUCAACUAGAUAAAAGCAGUGGAAACUACAUAGCUAGAGUACGUUCGGGGCAGAGGGAAUUCCUGGUGUAGCGGUGAAAUGCGUAGAGAUCAGGAAGAACACCAGUGGCGAAGGCGCUCUGCUAGGCCGUAACUGACACUGAGGGACGAAAGCUAGGGGAGCGAAUGGG